UUAAGUUCAGCGGGUAACCCUACCUGAUCCGAGGUCAAACCAUAGAAAGAUAAAUAGGCUUGACGGCAGGCCUCCGCCGGGACCCGAUGCGAGACUAGACGCUACUACGCAUGGGGCGCCGCGGCGGGACCGCCACUUCAUUUCGGGGCCUACGUUUUACCGUAGUGCCCCAACACCGAUCCACUAGAGAUUAGCGGCUC
This 200-nucleotide unclassified non-coding RNA is filed under the name Ascomycota sp. RNAcentral describes it as "partial internal transcribed spacer 2". Lineage: Eukaryota; Fungi; Ascomycota. The record is from RNAcentral.